CAGCAAAACAAUAUUCUAGCAAAUGUGUAGUUGUAGAAAUGCUCAAGUUUUUCUUACCUGCUUUCCCUAUUAUUUUCGAUACAGCUUUGCAGGAACUUCACACCAUCAGUCUAUAUGUGGAGAGAGUGCAUGACCUCGUGAAUUUCCAGAUAAAAAUUCUUCAACAAAAGUCUGAAAAGACAGAAGAAGAAAAAUCCGAUGUGCCAGUGAUUUUAAAAUUAAAGGCAGAGCAAGCAGCUAAUGAAGAGAAGCCUGAAUGCUUAAUGGAAACAGAACCUCUUUGGCAAGCACACGUCAUGUUGCAAAAGAUACAGGAAUCUUUACAGAAACAAGACAGAGAAAUCAGUGAGACCCUUGAAAGUGAAAGAUAUUACAAAACAAUGAAACCUCAAAUCAAGGUGCUAAUGUUCUUGAAAAAUCUUGCCAAGAAGGUUCACACCAUAUAUUGUGAUGUUCCUGAGGCACAACAGUAUAUCAGCCAGCUUAUCAAAAAGAACAAGGAUGAAAGGGCUGAUCAGAAAGAAGCCUUUAAUAAUGCUCAGGCUGACAUUCUGUCUUAUGAAGUAUUUUAUGGAAAUGAACCCAUGGAUGACAAAAGGACAGAGCUGUCAAUGAAGCUUUUCAGAAAUCUUGGGAAAGCAAAAUCUGAAUUUGAAUACAUUGAAACGGAGAAGAUGGUUUUUGAUUGUAUCCGGACAGGGGAAAUCCCCAACUGGAUUAAAAGGGAUUGUCUUUAUGUAGCCUUGGCAGAAGAUCAUAAAAAUAUAUGUUCUGAGGAGACAAGUCACCAUGCAGAGGAACUCAUGCGGAAGUUUGAAAUGGAAAUCAAGGUGGCCAACAAAACAAAGGAACAGUAAGAGACUUGCAAAGAGUGGAACAAGUUUCUAAUUUUAAAGAGGGACACUGAAUAAAAAGCUUGGAGCAUAGAAACA
RNAcentral lists this long non-coding RNA (932 nucleotides) under Anser brachyrhynchus (Pink-footed goose). Its description in RNAcentral is "lncRNA (ENSABRG00000018588.1)". Lineage: Eukaryota; Metazoa; Chordata; Aves; Anseriformes; Anatidae. The record is from RNAcentral.